RNAcentral lists this ribosomal RNA (402 nucleotides) under Gammaproteobacteria bacterium. RNAcentral describes it as "bacterial SSU rRNA". It matches the Rfam family "Bacterial small subunit ribosomal RNA", at positions 555 to 957 of the family's 1533-position model. Lineage: Bacteria; Pseudomonadati; Pseudomonadota; Gammaproteobacteria. The record is from RNAcentral.
UGGGCGUAAGCGCACGCAGGCGGUCUGUUAAGUCAGAUGUGAAAUCCCCGGGCUUAACCUGGGAACUGCAUUUGAAACUGGCAGGCUUGAGUCUCGUAGAGGGGGGUAGAAUUCCAGGUGUAGCGGUGAAAUGCGUAGAGAUCUGGAGGAAUACCGGUGGCGAAGGCGGCCCCCUGGACGAAGACUGACGCUCAGGUGCGAAAGCGUGGGGAGCAAACAGGAUUAGAUACCCUGGUAGUCCACGCCGUAAACGAUGUCGACUUGGAGGUUGUUCCCUUGAGGAGUGGCUUCCGGAGCUAACGCGUUAAGUCGACCGCCUGGGGAGUACGGCCGCAAGGUUAAAACUCAAAUGAAUUGACGGGGGCCCGCACAAGCGGUGGAGCAUGUGGUUUAAUUCGAUGC